RNAcentral lists this signal recognition particle RNA (268 nucleotides) under Clostridia bacterium. RNAcentral describes it as "signal recognition particle sRNA large type". It matches the Rfam family "Bacterial large signal recognition particle RNA". From Rfam's summary of the family: The signal recognition particle (SRP) is a universally conserved ribonucleoprotein involved in the co-translational targeting of proteins to membranes. Archaeal SRP consists of a 7S RNA and homologues of the eukaryotic SRP19 and SRP54 proteins. The record is from RNAcentral. Lineage: Bacteria; Bacillati; Bacillota; Clostridia.
UCAUGUUAAAUCGGGGCGUUAGCGGUGCCUUGUAACCCUCAAUCCGCUAUAGAGGGGAUGAAAACUUGCCAUGAGGGAUAGCCAUGUCCGGUCUGACCCUGUUCUAGUGGUGUUGACGGUUUGGUCUUGCGCAAUUGGAACCUGUGAACCUCGUCAGGGCGGGAACGCAGCAGCGAUAAGCAGUUAUUCUGAUGUGCCGCAAGAUCGCCAAACCCGAGCUUACGGUACAGGGGGCGCGGGUAUUGUUAUUUCGAAGGUAAGCACAUGA